Molecule: unclassified non-coding RNA, 149 nt
Filed under: soil metagenome
Description: partial internal transcribed spacer 1
Source: RNAcentral
CAGAGUUCAUGCCCGAAAGGGUAGACCUCCCACCCUUGUGUAUUAUUACUUUGUUGCUUUGGCGAGCCGCUCUUCGGGGCCUUGUAUGCUCGCCAGAGAAUAUCAAAACUCUUUUUAUUAAUGUCGUCUGAGUACUAUAUAAUAGUUUA